RNAcentral lists this ribosomal RNA (1614 nucleotides) under Caryophyllaeus laticeps. RNAcentral's name for it is "eukaryotic LSU rRNA". It matches the Rfam family "Eukaryotic large subunit ribosomal RNA", at positions 16 to 973 of the family's 3401-position model. Lineage: Eukaryota; Metazoa; Platyhelminthes; Cestoda; Caryophyllidea; Caryophyllaeidae. The record is from RNAcentral.
UAGGUCGACCCGCUGAAYUUAAGCAUAUCACUAAGCGGAGGAAAAGAAACUAACCAGGAUUCCCCUAGUAACGGCGAGUGAAGAGGGAAAAGCCCAGCACCGAAGCCUGUGGCAAUUUUGCUGCUAGGCAAUGUGGUGUUUAGGUCGGCUCGUGGGAUCGCCACUCCACUCGAAGUCCAGCAUUGAGUAUGGUUCCCAGGAAUUGGCCCAUAGAGGGUGAAAGGCCCGUACGAGUGGAUGUGUCAGAUAUGUAAGGCGAUUCACCAGGCCGGCCUUAGAGUCGGGUUGUUUGCGAAUGCAGCCCAAAGUGGGUGGUAAACUCCAUCCAAGGCUAAAUACUAGCACGAGUCCGAUAGCGAACAAGUACCGUGAGGGAAAGUUGAAAAGUACUUUGAAGAGAGAGUAAACAGUACGUGAAACCGCAUAGAGGUAAACGGGUGGCGUCAAGCUGCAAGCCCAGAGAAUUCAGUCGGUCAGGGUGUUGUCAUGCGCCCAGCGCAUCUAUCAGUCGGUGUAGGAUUUGGCUAGUCCGCUUGAAGAUGGCGGGCCCAGCUAGCAAUAGCUGGGAUUUGCGUACCGGGCGGUAGCCGGAGCAUGCUAGCCGUCUGUAGGACUGCCUGGCCGAUGCACUUUCUCUGUUGGUGAACACCACGACCGGUGGUACUGCCAGUCUGCUGUAGCCAGCUUCGUUGCAUACUCUGGCCUUUUGGUUGGGGCGUGUGGCGAUCACAGACAAUUUCAGUGCACGGUGCUUGUGUGUUUUUCGCAUGCGGGCAUGUUAUCGGGAACUGGUUGUAAACGGGUCGGCCUGUCGACUUGUCUGUAGUCGUGGUUGAUGGGUGACCCGGUGGGCUAUGGUGGUAUGAAUAACUGUGCAGGGCACCGGAGUUUUCGGUCCGACCAGCAGUAGUCGUUCGCGGCUGCUGUUGCCGGCUGCAUACGCACUGCAGUUUAGCGUGUGCACUGUCUUUGGCAGUAGUACGGGCGGCGCUGUUUACGGCCUGCCAGUCGUUGGGUCUGAUUGUCGUGUCGCCUGCCAAAAUGGUGGGUCCGGCGGUGGCCUGGCGUUGGAUGGUGCCUGUAGACGGAGCUGUCGUUGUGCAGCCGGUGUUUGUGUGCGCGACCUUAUAGUCUGUGGUGUAGUGGUAGACGAGCUACCCGACCCGUCUUGAAACACGGACCAAGGAGUUUAACAUGCGCGCGAGUCAUUGGGUCCUACGAAACCCAGAGGCGCAGUGAAAGUAAAGCUUCGACAUAUAUUGUUCUCGGGGUGUGGUGAGAUCCUGCUGUUUCUCGCAUACAUUUGUCCAGCACUGGGCUAACUAAACGAGCAGUGGGCGCAUCACCGGCCCGUCCCAUGAUGUGGCUAUCUGUCAGUGGCAGUUGUCGCCUUACGGUGGUGGUUGCUUUCUGCGGGUACGUCAUCGGGGCGGAGCAUGAGCGCGCAUGUUGAGACCCGAAAGAUGGUGAACUAUGCUUGCGUAGGUUGAAGCCAGAGGAAACUCUGGUGGAGGACCGCAGCGAUUCUGACGUGCAAAUCGAUCGUCAAACGUGAGUAUAGGGGCGAAAGACUAAUCGAACCAUCUAGUAGCUGGUUCCCUCCGAAGUUUCCCU